This 1845-nucleotide ribosomal RNA is filed under the name freshwater metagenome. RNAcentral describes it as "bacterial LSU rRNA". The stretch from base 694 to 1845 matches the Rfam family "Bacterial large subunit ribosomal RNA", at positions 1 to 2381 of the family's 2925-position model. The record is from RNAcentral.
AUGGGUGAAAUAUAGCAGCCCUUUAAUGUUAGUAUCAACCAUCUGCUCCCAGUCAGCCACACUGCAUUUAUGUGCAGCUUCGAGGCCAAGAGCCAAGCCUGCGUUAUUGAUCAGCACAGUUAUAUUUUGAAAUUUCUCUGGCAGGUUGGCGAGUAAUUCAGUCGGAGAAUCCUUAUGCUGGAUAUCUUGAUUCACAAUGUGGCAAUUGGCACCAAGUUCGCUUUGAAGUUUUUGCAAUCUAUCAAGUCUUCUGCCAGUUAAAAUUAACUUAGCACCAAGCUCAGCAAAUUCACGGGCGCAAGCCUCGCCAAAACCUGACGUAGCGCCAGUUAUAAGAAUAGUUUGAUUGUGAAGAUAAGAAUUACGAUGAUUUUAAAGUAUUAUUAUGAAAAAAGAAAAUAAAGGAUAUACAGCGACCUUAAAGGCCAACAACCAAGAGUAUAUUGGGAAAGGAAAAACCCUUGAAGAGUCCUUGCUUAAUAUUACUGUAAAGUUAAUAUAUACUGGCGGUGUUUUAGAAAUAUCAGGGGAGAAAGAGAUUAAGAAAGAUAUUCAUAUUAUGCAGAUGAAGAAGUUAUUCGGUAUUAAAAAAACCACUAUAAAGCUUUUUGCUAAACAACUUACUAAAGAAUAUGCUAAAUAGUAAAGACAUUUUUGAAUACGUCAUUAAAGAAGAGGCUAACUUUAUAUUACCUGUUAGUGUUAAUGGGUGGGAAUGGUCAAUGAAAGACCACCUUAAAACAUCUUUCUUUUACAAGCACGGAAGAUUAUUGACUGGUAACACGGACGAUAAGCCAGUUAAGAACAUCAUUAAACCAUUAUUAAACCUUAGAUAUAGAGCUGAAGAAAUUGAUGUAAAAAACAUUAUAAUAUAUUCCGAUACCUAUUAAAAAUGAGGUGAUGGAGGGACGCAUAGGGCUAAACAAGCUACCUGAUGGAAUAGGUAGUCGAAGGGUGUAGAUUGAGAUACAGGCAAAUCCGUAUCUUGUAUUCGAGACCUGACAGGCGUUACAAUCUCUUUGGAGGGCGUAAUGAAUUGUUGAUGCCGUCGUGCCAAGAAAAGCUUCUAAACUGUUUGAAUUUUUAAUAGCCCGUACCGUAAACCGACACAGGUGGGUGAGAUGAGUAUUCUAAGGCGCGUGGAAGAACUCUGGUUAAGGAACUCGGCAAAUUGACCCCGUAAGUUCGCGAUAAGGGGUGCCUCUAGUAGGUGAAGGAGUACAUCUGGAGCUGAUGGAGGUCGCAGAGAAUAGUCCCUCCCGACUGUUUAACACAAACACAGCACUCUGCCAACACGUAAGUGGAUGUAUAGGGUGUGACACCUGCCCGGUGCUGGAAGGUUAAGGGGAUUUGUUAGCGCAAGCGAAGCUUUGAACCGAAGCCCCAGUAAACGGCGGCCGUAACUAUAACGGUCCUAAGGUAGCGAAAUUCCUUGUCGGUUAAAUACUGACCUGCAUGAAUGGCGUAACGAGAUGGGAGCUGUCUCAACAGGGGAUCCAGUGAAAUUGUAGUGGAGGUGAAAAUUCCUCCUACCCGCGGAAAGACGGAAAGACCCCGUGCACCUUUACUACAGCUUGACACUGCUAUUGGGAAUUUCUUGUGCAGGAUAGGUGGGAGGCUUUGAUGAUAUGGCGCUAGCUGUAUCGGAGCCAUCCUUGAGAUACCACCCUGGAAAUUUCUGAUAGCUAACUGCGACGUGUUAUCCACGUCCAGGACAAUGUCUGGUGGGUAGUUUGACUGGGGCGGUCGCCUCCCAAAAUGUAACGGAGGCUUACGAAGGUUGGCUCAAGGCGGAUGGAAAUCGCCUGUAGAGUAUAAUGGCAUAAGCCAGCCUGACUGGGAAAC